Molecule: ribosomal RNA, 1388 nt
Filed under: Ficophagus richardi
Lineage: Eukaryota; Metazoa; Nematoda; Chromadorea; Rhabditida; Aphelenchoididae
Description: SSU rRNA
Rfam family: Eukaryotic small subunit ribosomal RNA
Source: RNAcentral
CUUAUCGCAUGGCCUUGGGGCGGCGAAAUUGCCCUCCAGUAUCUGCCUUAUCAACUAUCGUCGGGAGUGGAUUGGACUACCGAAGGGGUGACGGGUAACCGAAAAUCAGGGUUCGACUCCGGAAAAGGGGCCUUAAAAACCGGUACCAUGGCUAAAGGCAGCAGCAGGGGCCCCACUUAUCCCCUGGUCCUUGAACCAGAUUGUGGCCAAAAAUAACAAGCUCGUUUUCCUUGAAGGCCAGCAUUGGAAUGGAUGGGAAGGAAACAAUUUCCUGAAUAUUCACCAAAGGGCAAAGCUGGGGCCCGCAGCCCCGGUAAUUCCAGCUCUCGUAAUGGAUAAAAUUAUUGUUGGGGUUAAAAAGUUCGUAAUUGGAUUUUCUACUGCCACUGGGCGCCUCUAACGAUGUAGACUAGAAGCAAUACUUGGGGCACCUCCGGGUCGACCCCACGGGGCGCGGAUUACUUUUAACCGCUUAAGUGCUCCAGGGGAGGCUUCGGACUGAAUACCCGUGGAUGGAAAAAUGGAACAAGGGUUCGGCCCAAUUUUAUUGGUUUUGUCGGCUUUAACCAUGGUUAACAGGAACAGCUGGGGGCACUCGUAUCGCUGCGCGAGAGGUGAAAUUCGUGGACCGCAGCGAGACGCCCUAGAGCGAAGGCAUUUGCCAAGAGUGUUUUCAUUAAUCAAGAACGAAAGUCAGAGGUUCGAAUGGCGAUCAGAUACCGCCCUAGUUCUGACCGUAAACGAUGCCAACUAUCAAUCCGCCAGUGGCUUUGAGUCAUUGGCGGGCGGAUCGACGGAAACGAAAGUUUUUCGGUUCCGGGGGAAGUAUGGUUGCAAAGCUGAAACUUAAAGGAAUUGACGGAAGGGCACCACCAGGAGUGGAGCUUGCGGCUUAAUUUGACUCAACACGGGAAACCUCACCCGGCCAGUACAUCAUAAGGAUUGACAGAUUGAUAGCUCUUUCAUGAUUUGAUGAAUGGUGGUGCAUGGCCGUUCUUAGUUCGUGGCGUGAGUCGUCUGCUUAAUUGCGAUAACGAGCGAGACUCCGUCUGCUAAAUACCCGCUGGAUUAUUUGUCCACGCGAGUUCUUAGCUGGAUUCGAGACUCCAAGUCUUAAGAAAUGGAGCAAUAACAGGUCUGUGAUGCCCUUAGAUGUUCGGGGCCGCACGCGUGCUACAAUGAUGAUGACAGCGUGAUUGUCCUCGCCCGAGAGGGCUUGGCAAACAGUUGAGAUAUUAUUAUGGCUGGAAUUGAGUGUUGAAAUUUUCCCUCAUGAACGAGGAAUUCCAAGUAAAUGCGAGUCAUCAACUUGCAUUGAUUACGUCCCUGCCCUUUGUACACACCGCCCGUCGCUACCCGGGACUGAGUUGUUUCGAGAAAUCUACGGA